CAGCAACCCCGCUGACCUCUUCCACUGGCUGCCCAAGGAGCACAUGUGUGUGCUUGUCUACCUGGUGACCGUGAUGCACUCCAUGCAGGCCGGCUACCUGGAGAAGGCGCAGAAGUACACGGACAAGGCCCUCAUGCAGCUGGAGAAGCUCAAGAUGCUGGACUGCAGCCCCAUCUUGUCAUCCUUCCAAGUGAUCCUGCUGGAGCACAUCAUCAUGUGUCGCCUUGUCACAGGUCACAAGGCCACGGCACUGCAGGAGAUCUCCCAGGUCUGCCAGCUGUGCCAGCAAUCCCCCCGGCUCUUCUCCAACCAUGCAGCACAGCUGCACACAUUGCUGGUGAGUAACCCUGUGACAGCACCCCAGGAGAAUCCAGAAUGUUCUCAGUAAGUAAGUACCUAACCAGAUCCAGAACAUUCCCAGUGAAGAACCCUCUGACAGCACCCUAAUCAGAAUCCGGAAUGUUCCCAUAGGUAAUCAUAUAACCUUCCCAGGCAAGAUGCAGAAUGCUUCCAGUGAGCAUCUUGUCCCACCCCACAUUGGCUUGGGUUUGAAAGGUGGGGACAGUGAGCAUAUUACCUGCCUUGCAGCUGGCUUGGUAGAGCCAUUGUCGUACUCCUCCAGGGCAGCCGUGUAGGCCCUGGGCGCACCACAUGUGUCUCUGAUCUGAGCCCCCUCCCCAGAGGCCAGCCCUGAUGACAACACCACCUUCUUCCAGGGCCUGUACUGUGUCUCUGUCAACUGCAUGGACAACGCGGAAGCCCAGUUCACCACAGCUCUGCGGCUCACCAACCACCAGGAGCUGUGGGCCUUCAUCGUCACCAACCUGGCGAGUGUGUAUAUACGGGAAGGAAAUAGACACCAAGAGCUCUACAGUCUGUUGGAGAGGAUCAACCCGGACCACAGCUUCCCUGUCAGCUCGCACUGCCUCCGAGCAGCUGCCUUCUACGUGCGUGGGCUCUUCUCCUUCUUCCAGGGACGCUACAACGAGGCCAAGCGAUUUCUGCGGGAAACUCUGAAGAUGUCCAAUGCUGAGGACCUGAACCGGCUCACAGCCUGCUCCCUCGUGCUCCUGGGCCACAUCUUCUAUGUGCUGGGAAACCACAGGGAGAGUAACAACAUGGUGGUGCCCGCCAUGCAGCUCGCCAGCAAGAUCCCGGACAUGUCGGUACAGCUGUGGUCGUCAGCACUGCUGAGAGACCUGAAUAAAGCCUGUGGGAACGCCAUGGACGCCCAUGAAGCUGCCCAGAUGCACCAGAACUUCUCGCAGCAGCUGCUCCAGGACCACAUUGAGGCCUGCAGCCUCCCCGAACACAACCUCAUCACGUGGACAGACGGUCCACCCCCCGUGCAGUUCCAAGCUCAGAAUGGACCCAACACCAGCCUGGCCAGCCUCCUGUGAGGCCUUGAUGGGGCCAUCCAGCUCCGCAGGGCCUGCGCGUCUCCGGCUUCCACCCAGACGGCACUCAAGCCUGCCUUCGAGGCGUGCUUCCUUCCUGAUUGUCUCUAGAGCUUCCAAGUCCUGGGAAUGUGCGGGGCCAGUCCCUGCCCUCCCAGGAGGGGUGGCAGCCGUUCACACCUCGCACCAGGACCCCCAGUGCAGAGGCUCACAGGUGGCACACAGGCACUGUCUCUCCAGAGCCAUCCUUCAGAGUGGACCUCAGUGCCAGUCCUGCCUUGGCAUCUGGGUCACGUCAGCCAGGAGUAGGGUGCAGGCCUCCAGCAGGUCCUAAUCCUGUGUGCCAGGGCAGGCGGUGCCCCAGGGGCACCACGCCUGACUCUCCAUCACCCAGGCCUUGAUGCCGAGCGGGAGUAGAGUGUUUCCUCUGCUCAAGGCAAUUUCUAGAGCCCGGAUGCCAGUUUCUGGCCUGAAUUUGGAGGGAAGAAGUAAUGGCCCGCGUGCGGGACGAAGCACAGAUCCCAGCACUUUUCCCAGCUUUCUCUCCAGCGUCAGUCCCUGCAGCAGCCGGGACCUCUGGUCAGGAACCCUCAGGGACCCAGGAACUCAGCUUCCAAACAUCUGCACCUUGACCGGACUCGCCAUCCCGCCGUGGGGGUGCAGGUGAUUGUAAACACGGGUGUGCAUGUGGAUGCACAUGGGUGUGCGGUGAAGAUCUGUGGAGAUGGAGCUGGGAGCUGAGGCUCCUGUUGCACCAGCCACCUUCCCCCAUCUUGUGGCUGCUGAGGGGCAGGAAGUGGGGGAGUGGGCUCCUCUCCCAAAUUUAAGAUCACCUCCUCAGCUAGCUUAGAGUGCAUGGCACGGGCCCCCCACCCCCCAGAUCUGGAGCCCAGGGACUUUCUUCCUGGCAAAUCUGUGGCCUUCCCUGCUCAGCCUCUUGGUCCCCCACCCCCGCACUGCCUCACCUUCACUGCUGGGUCUCUGGGGCACAGUGUGAAACCCGCACCCUAGCCGGGCCCCAGGGAGCCUCCGCUGGGCCCAGACAGCAGCGUUUGGUUUUAUCUACUUUUCUUGGAUAAUCAGGAGGUGCCCCAGUGGUCACAGUGUGGCAUUCCGAGUUGCGGCGGGUGGUCAGGGGUCAAGAUAGCAGCAGCAGGUGUCAGGGCUCAAGACACCACCCCCUCCAGCUUCUGGGGCCCAGGAGCCUCUCCCUGCUGCAGGGGGUGGGGGUCCUGCUCAACAGGGUAGGUGGUGGUUUUAGGUCUUGUCACCCUCGCUUGGUGGAGCUGCCUCUGGGAGCUUUGGUGUCUGUGACUAAAGGGACGCUGGAUUGCUUAGGUCAGCUGCUCAGGGCUCCCAGGUUGGGUGUGCCUUAGCCACAGGCAGGGCUGUCAAUAACCCCCUUCCUCACUGGCCACCACCUAACAUCAGCACCAGUGACAGGCUGGUCAGAGGGCGGGGCUGGUGAGGGUUUGUUCUAAGAGGACCACCGCCAUCUCUGGGUCUCCAGGGGGAGAGCCUGGCACUGGCCCACAAACUGUCCCUGUCCUGUCUUCCUCCCGAGCCAUGGCCUCUGCUAGCUCCACCUUGAAGGAGCCCCCCACAUCCUCCCCUACAUCCCUGAGAUGCCACCACUUGUGUCUCCACAAUGUGCUCCUGCCCAACCGGGUCCCGCACUGUCCGACCCCUGCACACCACUCAUGUCACCACGGCGUGCAUCAUGUUCAUCCCCAUCUAUUUAUUUAAGCCUUUCUUUGCUUGUAGGGCAUUUUGUAUGUAGAGCAGUUGAAAACAGAACCUCAGAACUUAACAUCUGUCCUGAUGUUAAAGUGCUUUUCAUGACCACCCCGUUAUCUAUGUAUAUGUAAAGUUAAGGAUGAGAUCUUAAGUUUACAAUUAAAAACUCAGUACUCGAUAUUUAAUACUCUACUCGAGCUUUAUGGAAGCCAAAUCAUGUGCAUGCGUGUGUGUGUGCGUGUGUGCAAGCUUUGAACCUCCUUCCACAGCCGCAUCUUCUCAUGACACAAAGCUUUUGAUAAGUACUUUCCUGUGGGUCGCUCAGCGCCUCAUAGCGUCUCAUUCAGUUGCAAGAAUAGAGGCCAGACACGGUGGCGUAUGCCUGUAGUCCCAGCUAACUGGGAGGCUGAGGCAGGAGGAUCACUUGAGCCCAGGAGAUUGAGGCUGCAGUGAGCAUGAUCGUGCCACUGCACUCCAGCCUGGGUGAUGGUGAGACUUUGUCUC
This 3638-nucleotide small RNA is filed under the name Pongo abelii (Sumatran orangutan). Its description in RNAcentral is "retained intron". Lineage: Eukaryota; Metazoa; Chordata; Mammalia; Primates; Hominidae. The record is from RNAcentral.